AAGGACCGUACUCGGGAGCAGCCGGUUCCUGUUGUGGGGUCUUUUUCAGGGGGGUCAGGGGGCUCUUUUCCCUCUGGCCUGUGUUCCCUUAGGGUGUCUCUCCACAGCCCAGUGUCGGGCUCUCGGGGGAGGACUUGGGGCCGGGCCGGGGCAGGUGGGCUUAUGGAGGAGGGGCGCCCGCCAGGGGGGCGGACGGGGUGCCAGGGCCUCGCUGCUGGCUGUGCCUCGGAGGCUGGAACACAGGCAGUGGGGGGACAUGAGACCAACAUCCUCCAUCUGUCCCUUUAGGAAAUGCCACCAGAGCCGCAGCCAGACAGUCUGGCAAGCCCCGCUGGGCCCGUUCCCGGCGGGAGGGAGCUGGGACGCGGUGGGAGCAGCCUCUGACCGGGCGUUUGCCCAGCGCACCUGCGCCCCUGGGAACCCCUCCGCGGCCUCUCCGGGGAGCAGCCCCUGACGCCCCACAGAAGCCGAGGGGCCAUGGGUCCGGGGCCUCAGCCCUGGCAGGAAACCGAGGCCCGGUGAGGAAAGGGGCGUGGUCCACACGGGGACGUGACUGCGGGUCCUGGCACCUCCACGCACGCACGCUCUCGGGCUCUGCGGGCGUCUCCCUCCGUCUGUGCCUCCCCACCCCGCGUGAUCAGCUCCGGGCCACAGGGGCUGAGCCUGCCUCAGUUUCCCGUCCCGGGUGCUACCUCCGUGCAUGUGCACAGGAUGGACGCGCAGACCGAGAACCCACUUCUGUGUCUCUGCGUGGCUUCGUCCGCCGAGGGCCAUAAAUCGCCUCUGCUCACUCGCCGACCUCUUGCUCUUUUUGCUUUUGUUCUCAAAAAGUUAUUAAUGUUUCUGUGACUCCAUAUAUAACCUUACGCGGCUUCUCUCCCUCGGUGGUGGCGUGUCCCCGGGGACCCCUCCCUCCAUCUGCAGGCGCAGGCCUGUCUGGGCGGCCGGGCCAAGCGCCCACCCGUGUGUGGGAGGCGGCUUCCAAGGCCCGGCUCGGGGAGCUGAGAGCUGCACAGCCGCUGACCCCUGUCGCCCUCACGCCCCCCCACAGGGCUCUCAUCCUCGUUUGCAGGUGAAGAAACCGGGUCGGGGAGGAACUGGGUCCGGGAGACACCACCGGGUCACGUGGAACGUGAG
RNAcentral lists this long non-coding RNA (1137 nucleotides) under Canis lupus familiaris (dog). Its description in RNAcentral is "lncRNA (ENSCAFG00000053364.1)". The record is from RNAcentral. Lineage: Eukaryota; Metazoa; Chordata; Mammalia; Carnivora; Canidae.